This is a non-coding RNA of Triticum aestivum (bread wheat), 92 nucleotides long. Lineage: Eukaryota; Viridiplantae; Streptophyta; Magnoliopsida; Poales; Poaceae. The record is from Rfam.
AAAACUAGCUAGUCUUUUGGGUAUGAAACCCAUUUGGGCGAGAGUACUACUAGGAUGGGUGACCUCCUGGGAAGUCCUCGUGAAAGGGUUUC